UCUAAGGCAGUUGGGGAACUGGCAACUGAUACUCUAUCUCUGGGAAACAGACAGAGAGUGUGUCUGGAAGUGUCUUUCUGAAGGAAACCAACUUUGGAGCUGCCUGGGAAUUGGAUCAGUUUUUAAGGAGAGGUUGAGUGAGUGAUCCCUCACACUGGUGGACAGCAUGUGGGUGUGAACCUCUUCCCUUCCUAAACCUUGUGAGGACUAUUCAUCUUGAUACUGCAGUUUGACCAAACCAAGGACUCUGGAGUUUAAACUAUGAGCUUCCUGAAACAAGGAUCGACUUUCACAGUACCUGGCAGGCACUUAGUGAUUGAUUGAAUGAAGAAGUAAUCUGCUGGACAACAUGGGAGAAAAUGGGAUGCAGCACAUAGAUCAGGAAACUGAGGCCCAUGGAUAUUAAAUGAACUGCAUAUGGUCAAAGAGAUAAGAAACCAGCAGAGGUGGUAUGACAAGUUAUAUCUAAUGAAAUAUAUGAGAAAAUAAGAAUUUUGGAUUUAGAAAAAAGACAUGUCUUCCAGGAUUUGGGAAGCAAAUGUGAAAUAAAGAAAGAAUACUUGACUUGGUAGCUAGGAGACCUCAAGUAUUCUAUCCCCAAAACCUGCUCCUUAAUAUGGACAGUGAUUUCAUCUCUGAUCCUAGGUUUCCUCACUGUGAUAUAAUGGAAGAAACACUGGAUUUGAAAUUCGGAAGGAAUGAAAUAAAAUAGGAAUAAUAAUACACAA
Monodelphis domestica (gray short-tailed opossum) is the source of this 728-nucleotide long non-coding RNA. RefSeq lists it as uncharacterized. NCBI's taxonomy places the organism in Eukaryota, Metazoa, Chordata, Mammalia, Didelphimorphia, Didelphidae. The record is from RefSeq and is a predicted model, not a curated record.